GCUUCUGAUAAAGAACAUGCCACUUCUAAGGAAUAAGACAUCCUUGCAUGAUCAAAUCCAAUCUAGACAGGCAACCCAAACAUAAACCCUUUCAAGCAUUCAAAUCCUCCUAAUUCAAGGAUCAUAACAGCCAGAAGUCCUUCCUGCUCAACACAGUAUAAUUCUCUAUUUCUCAUACAGUUCAAUAGUUUCACACCCAUUCUACCCAAUAUGAUGCUACAAUUUACAAACAUUUAUUCAGGACCAGCCCAUUA
This is a long non-coding RNA of Populus euphratica (Euphrates poplar), 254 nucleotides long. RefSeq lists it as uncharacterized. The transcript has 2 exons. The record is from RefSeq and is a predicted model, not a curated record. Lineage: Eukaryota; Viridiplantae; Streptophyta; Magnoliopsida; Malpighiales; Salicaceae.